RNAcentral lists this ribosomal RNA (253 nucleotides) under uncultured bacterium. RNAcentral describes it as "partial 16S ribosomal RNA". It matches the Rfam family "Bacterial small subunit ribosomal RNA", at positions 524 to 776 of the family's 1533-position model. The record is from RNAcentral.
UACGUAGGGUCCAAGCGUUAUCCGGAAUCACUGGGCGUAAAGCGUGCGUAGGUGGCGUGUUAAGUGUGAUGUUAAAUCGUGGGGCUCAACCCUAUCGAUGCAUCGCAUACUGGCAUGCUAGAGGGAAGCAGAGGCAAGUGGAAUUUGUAGUGUAGCAGUGAAAUGCGCAGAUAUUACAAGGAACACCAAUGGCGAAGGCAGCUUGCUGGGCUUCUUCUGACACUGAGGUACGAAAGCGUGGGGAGCGAACAGG